GCGUGAUGCAUCCAUAAUGAAUCCACCACAACCGACACGAACGUCGUUCGCACGUAGCGUCGAAUGCGAGGGGCAAAUAGAGGCCAAGGCCUCAUGCCCACAACAUGUUCCGCAUCCAAGAUUUCGAGCAUUACGUCUUGGGUGGGCUACCCGAGCGCGUGCGCACACACACACAAGAG
RNAcentral lists this unclassified non-coding RNA (179 nucleotides) under Prostanthera althoferi. RNAcentral describes it as "partial external transcribed spacer". Lineage: Eukaryota; Viridiplantae; Streptophyta; Magnoliopsida; Lamiales; Lamiaceae. The record is from RNAcentral.